UACGAAGGGAGCAAGCGUUAUUCGGAAUCACUGGGCGUAAAGGGUGCGUAGGCGGCCCGCUAAGUCAAUUAUUAAAGCCCACGGCUCAACCGUGGAUCUGUAGUUGAUACUGGCAGGCUAAGAGGACGAGAGAGAGAAGUGGAAUUCUCGGAGUAGCGGUAAAAUGCGUAGAUCUCGAGAGGAACACCGAUAGCGAAGGCAGCUUCUUGGCUCGUACCUGACGCUGAGGCACGAAAGCGUGGGUAGCAAACAGGAUUAGAUACCCUGGUAGUCCACGCCGUAAACGAUGAUCACUAAAUGUUGGUUUCGCUUAGCGAAAUCAGUGUUAAAGCUAACGCGUUAAGUGGUCCGCCUGAGUAGUACGGUCGCAAGAUUAAA
This 378-nucleotide ribosomal RNA is filed under the name uncultured bacterium. RNAcentral describes it as "bacterial SSU rRNA". It matches the Rfam family "Bacterial small subunit ribosomal RNA", at positions 524 to 898 of the family's 1533-position model. The record is from RNAcentral.